This is a long non-coding RNA of Syngnathoides biaculeatus (alligator pipefish), 1583 nucleotides long. RefSeq lists it as uncharacterized. The record is from RefSeq and is a predicted model, not a curated record. Lineage: Eukaryota; Metazoa; Chordata; Actinopteri; Syngnathiformes; Syngnathidae. The transcript has 3 exons.
CCCAGAUUACAGGAGGUCGCCGUCGGAUCAGGCGCGCGGAUGAAACAGACUCGGCGGGCGGUCGGAAGAUCGCCUUUGGAUCUCCUAAAUAACGCAAACAUCCUGCGAUGCCAUCGGGAGGAAACAUUUCCAUCCACAUUCCUGGAAUUACAGGCCAGAAAAAAUAAGUAACUGCACUUCUACUCAAGUAUGUGUGAGUACUUUUUCCACCCCUGCUGAGUCAUGAACAGUUGUUAAAUACAGUACGUACAUCUAUCUAAUGCUGUGGUGUGCAAACUAUGGCCCCGGGCCAUUUGUGGCUUGCUGAUUAUUUUUUGGAGACCAGCAACAGAGAUGUUCACGGUGGAUCAGCUGGAACACUGCAUACAUACAUUAAUUGGACACUCUAAAUUGCCCAUAGGUGUGAUUGUGAGUGCGGCUGUUUGUCUCGAUGUGCCCUGCGAUCGGGUGGCAACCAGUUCAGGGUGUGCCGCACCUCCUGCCCGUUGACAGCUGGGAUAGGCUACGGCACUCCCCGCGACCCUUGUGAGGAUAAGCGGCUAAGAAAAUGGAUGGAUGUUCGAUACCAGAUUUUUUCAGGCAGAUACCAGAAUGAGUAUUCACUCUUGAGUACUCACGGAAGUAAAGUAUUACGAGUCCAUCCAUGAAAUUUCAACAAACACAAAGAUAGAUGUCGACUUGUCGCAGUCACUAAUGUGUCAAACUGCUCCAAUAUAGCGCCAACUACUGGCGAGGUGGACAUAACGGCAGAUUUUUUUUUUCCCCUUAGUAUUGGUGGCUGGUAUCGGAAAUGUUCACGAGUACCCGAUACCUUGAAAUAAGCCAGUAUUGGACGAAUUGCCCAUCCUUAAUUUCAAUAUUUUAUAAUAUCCAUCCAUUCAUUUUUUUUGCCGCUUAUCCUCACGAGGGUCGCAGGGGGUACCGGAGGCUAUCCUAGCUGUCGACGGGCAUGAGGCGGGGUACACCCUGAACUGGUCGCCAUGUAAAAUGCAUUUCUACUUACGAAAAAUUCAUGUUACAAUGUGACUUCUGGAACGGAUUAAUAUUGUAAGUAGAGGUACCGUUGUAUUAGCAAGUUUUACGAUCCAUCCAUCCAUUUUCUGAGCCGCUUAACCUCACAAGGGUUGUGGGAGUGCUGGAGGCAAUCCCUGCUGUCUUUGGGCAGCCAGCCAAUCGCAGGGCACAUGGAGACAGACAACAGUCGCACUCACAAUCACACCUAUGGGCAAUUUAGUCUCCAAUUAAUGUUGCAUGUUUUGGGGAUGUGGGAGGAAACCGCAGCGCCCGGAGAAAACGGGGAGAACAUGCAAACUCCACAACGGCGGGGGCCGGGAUCGAACUUUACCAGCUGCUGCCUAUUUUAUAAUAGUGGGGUUAUUAUGAAUAAAGUGGUUAAAAAAAAUUGUUUGUUGAGGAGGUGGAAUAAAUGGAAGUUCCAAUAAUUUCAAUAGGGACAGUUGGUUAGUGAUGAGUUGUAAGAGUGGUAAGCAGGAUUAAUGAAUACACACCACUGUAACUUUUUAAAUUGGAGGAGGAUUGUUUUACUAUGUUAACUCCAUAAAAUAAAACAAAUGUUCAAGUGG